GGUCCUGUAGCUCAGCUGGUUAGAGCAAGUGACUCAUAAUCGCCUGGUCACAGGUUCAAGUCCUGUCAGGGCCACC
This 76-nucleotide transfer RNA is filed under the name Klebsiella phage N1M2. RNAcentral's name for it is "tRNA-Met". It matches the Rfam family "tRNA". Rfam says of the family: Transfer RNA (tRNA) molecules are approximately 80 nucleotides in length. Their secondary structure includes four short double-helical elements and three loops (D, anti-codon, and T loops). Further hydrogen bonds mediate the characteristic L-shaped molecular structure. tRNAs have two regions of fundamental functional importance: the anti-codon, which is responsible for specific mRNA codon recognition, and the 3' end, to which the tRNAs corresponding amino acid is attached (by aminoacyl-tRNA synthetases). tRNAs cope with the degeneracy of the genetic code in two manners: having more than one tRNA (with a specific anti-codon) for a particular amino acid; and 'wobble' base-pairing, i.e. permitting non-standard base-pairing at the 3rd anti-codon position. The record is from RNAcentral. Lineage: Duplodnaviria; Heunggongvirae; Uroviricota; Caudoviricetes; Chimalliviridae.